RNAcentral lists this long non-coding RNA (692 nucleotides) under Homo sapiens (human). Its description in RNAcentral is "AASDHPPT antisense RNA 1". The record is from RNAcentral. Lineage: Eukaryota; Metazoa; Chordata; Mammalia; Primates; Hominidae.
CAAAUAUGUGAGCAAUCCAAUUCCAGAAUUCCACUUUCCCAGGACUACUCAUGGUACAAAUUACUGUAUUAGUCAGGGUUGUAGCAGGAAACAGAUGGCACAACCAAAAGUAAUGAUCAAAGAGGGUGUAGGCAAGAAUAACAAAAAUCUAUGGAGAUGGUGCAGCAGCUUAGGCUAAGCAAGAGCAAGAUCUUUCUACUUCUAAAAUGAAAAGGCAGGGAAAAGUUGUUCCUGAACCCAUGAGAUGUAUAUAUGGAGAAGGCUAUGUCAGAAGCUGUGAUGCUGAGGAACACAGCUAUUUCCAAGCCACUGCAGGGCAGGAAGGGAAUCAUCAUGACUUUGUACCAUUUCGUAUUGGAAUUUCUUCUGUGAAGCAAAAACAGUCCCAAAAUGAAGGAUCUUCAGGUGUCAUGGGAACGGCAGAUGACAUUAAAUCAUUAAAGUUGAGAAUAGUAAAUUGCCUCUGGGUUGGUUUGGAAUCAUCCUGAGAUGGAACCUAAAAGACAAAAGCAGAUUACCUUAUUGUUAUAUUGCAUGUUAAUCUUAUGAUCAAUUUCAUAAUCAUGAAAAUAAGUAAGACCAACUUACAUUUCAGUAGUAUUAAAUGACAACAUAGGAUUCCUAGAACAUUGUUUGUAUUUCUUAUAUUAGUGUUGCCAAUACAACAAAUCAAAAAAAAAUGAAAUAGAAAA